RNAcentral lists this long non-coding RNA (199 nucleotides) under Elaeis guineensis (African oil palm). RNAcentral describes it as "long non-coding RNA (EGUI_LNC002677)". Lineage: Eukaryota; Viridiplantae; Streptophyta; Magnoliopsida; Arecales; Arecaceae. The record is from RNAcentral.
UUCCAGUAGGAGCCACCAUCCAUGAUUUGGAUCCACAUGCUUUUUUCAGUAAGGAUUCAAAGUAGCAGAGAAUUGAUACUAUGGUGAAAAAAGAUAAGAAAAAGGAUAUAUGACGAGCUAUUGGAUCAUGAGUUUAUUUCAGCGAUAUUUCAGCAAAUACAACAGAUAAUCCUUACUAUCUAUCUGCUAUUCAGCCAUG